RNAcentral lists this transfer RNA (72 nucleotides) under Bos taurus (domestic cattle). It matches the Rfam family "tRNA". From Rfam's summary of the family: Transfer RNA (tRNA) molecules are approximately 80 nucleotides in length. Their secondary structure includes four short double-helical elements and three loops (D, anti-codon, and T loops). Further hydrogen bonds mediate the characteristic L-shaped molecular structure. tRNAs have two regions of fundamental functional importance: the anti-codon, which is responsible for specific mRNA codon recognition, and the 3' end, to which the tRNAs corresponding amino acid is attached (by aminoacyl-tRNA synthetases). tRNAs cope with the degeneracy of the genetic code in two manners: having more than one tRNA (with a specific anti-codon) for a particular amino acid; and 'wobble' base-pairing, i.e. permitting non-standard base-pairing at the 3rd anti-codon position. The record is from Rfam by way of RNAcentral. RNAcentral also lists the same sequence under 1 other name. Lineage: Eukaryota; Metazoa; Chordata; Mammalia; Artiodactyla; Bovidae.
UCCCGGGUAGCUCAGCCGGUAAAGAAUCUGCCUGUAAUGCAGGAGACUCUGGUUAGAUUCCUGGGUUGGGAA